AACUUACUUUUUUAUGUGAUAAAAUUAAUUUUAUUGGACUUCCAACAUAAAUUGAUUUAGCAAAACUCAGUUCAAAGGUUUAAAUCAGACCUAAAACGUCAGGACCCGCCCACGCGUACCUGCAUGCAGCUGUGGAAGAACAAGCCCAGACACGUUUCUUCACGGAGCCCAAUAGGAAAACACUUUACCGAACUCAUGUUUAGGGUCUUCUAGGCGCGAUGCGAGACGUCACAAGCGGGCUAACGUUGAGCCAAACAGCAGCUUCGAGGCACGGGCGGAAAUGAGAAGGAGUUUGGCCCCCAGUCAGGUCGCCAAACGGAAGCAAGGGGAGGAUGAUCAUCGAGACGAAAUAUAGUAUAUUAACCACGAGCGGUUCUCGAGAGAAGAUGAAUGGAGAAAAUUGGGACAGUGAUGAAGAAGUCCAAGUUCCAUGGCCACUCAACAAAGCAGGAGGAAGGAAGCAGUCACAAACCAAAUACGUGGCAAGAAUUCUGAGAUUUGGUGAAGACACACGUGAACUGACGCCAUAUU
Non-coding RNA from Nerophis lumbriciformis (worm pipefish), 531 nucleotides. The record is from RefSeq and is a predicted model, not a curated record. NCBI's taxonomy places the organism in Eukaryota, Metazoa, Chordata, Actinopteri, Syngnathiformes, Syngnathidae.